GCGACAUUGGUAAGACGUACACAUCGCGAGGUUCUGGUGCGACGGUCAUGGAAGACUCAACAAAAAACAUCUGUGGGCUGACGAUGAGGAGGCUGCCGCCCUUGAAGGUCCCGGUGACUUGCCGCACGAUGGAGCAGGUGGCCGUGGAACCCGGCAAAUUCGUUUUAUACCACACCUUCGAAGAUUGGUACCCGUCCUACGCCUCCCUCUCCAUCCUGCCUGACGACAUCUGGGUUGUCACCUAUCCCAAAACAGGUGAGACCACAAAAGUGUGAUAACUUAUUGCAGUCUUCCAUACAAUGUGCUUAUUUCUCGCCGUAAAGUUGAUCCAUUUAUCGCUUGAUUGUACGGAGCGUCCCUCUAAUUUGCUUUAAUUCUCAAAA
Long non-coding RNA from Eriocheir sinensis (Chinese mitten crab), 383 nucleotides. RefSeq lists it as uncharacterized. The record is from RefSeq and is a predicted model, not a curated record. The transcript is spliced from 2 exons. NCBI's taxonomy places the organism in Eukaryota, Metazoa, Arthropoda, Malacostraca, Decapoda, Varunidae.